UACGUAGGGCGCGAGCGUUAAUCGGAAUUACUGGGCGUAAAGCGUGCGCAGGCGGUUAUUUAAGUCAGGUGUGAAAGCCCUGGGCUUAACCUAGGAAUUGCGCUUGAGACUGGAUAGCUUGGAGUGCGGCAGAGGGAGGUGGAAUUCCACGUGUAGCAGUGAAAUGCGUAGAGAUGUGGAGGAACACCGAUGGCGAAGGCAGCCUCCUGGGCCAGCACUGACGCUCAUGCACGAAAGCGUGGGGAGCAAACAGG
RNAcentral lists this ribosomal RNA (254 nucleotides) under uncultured bacterium. RNAcentral's name for it is "partial 16S ribosomal RNA". It matches the Rfam family "Bacterial small subunit ribosomal RNA", at positions 524 to 776 of the family's 1533-position model. The record is from RNAcentral.